This 490-nucleotide ribosomal RNA is filed under the name uncultured Allobaculum sp. RNAcentral describes it as "partial 16S ribosomal RNA". The record is from RNAcentral. Lineage: Bacteria; Bacillati; Bacillota; Erysipelotrichia; Erysipelotrichales; Erysipelotrichaceae.
CACGUAGUUAGCCGUGACUUUCUGGCGGGGCACCAUCAGUCAGCACCCAUUUCCUGAUGCUGCCUUUUUUCCCCCGCAACAGAGCUUUACGGCCCGAAGGCCUUCUUCACUCACGCGGCAUCGCUCGUUCAGGCUUGCGCCCAUUGACGAAAAUUCCCUACUGCUGCCUCCCGCAGGAGUCUGGGCCGUGUCUCAGUCCCAAUGUGGCCGUCCGCCCUCUCAGGCCGGCUAUGCAUCAUCGUCUUGGUGGGCCUUUACCCGCCAACCAACUAAUGCACCGCAGGUCCAUCCGCGCCCCAUCCCCUAGACGGAUGUUUCACAGAAAGAAGAUGCCUCUUCCUGUACAUCGGAUUUGUCUCGUUUCAGAGCGUAUCCCGGUGCGCGGGCAGGUUCCCUACGUGUUACUCACCCGUUCGCCACUAGAGACCCGAAGGUCUCUCGUUCGACUUGCAUGUAUUAGGCAUGCGCCAGCUUCAUCCUGAGCAGGAUA